This 324-nucleotide ribosomal RNA is filed under the name Cercomonadidae sp. RNAcentral describes it as "SSU rRNA". The stretch from base 107 to 324 matches the Rfam family "Eukaryotic small subunit ribosomal RNA", at positions 737 to 955 of the family's 1831-position model. Lineage: Eukaryota; Cercozoa; Cercomonadida; Cercomonadidae. The record is from RNAcentral.
GAUUUCUGGUUCGGCGCACUUGGCCCGCCUCGGUUUACGGGGUCGCGUGCCGGUGUGCGCCAUCCAUCCUUCGGAACGUCGUAUCUACCCUUCAUUGGGCCGGAUACGCUAUUCCGAUCUUUUACUUUGAAAAAAUUAGAGUGUUUAAAGCAGGCUUAUCGCUAUGAAUACAUUAGCAUGGAAUAAUAAUUUAGGACUUUGGUCUUAUUUUGUUGGUUUCUAGGACUAAAGUAAUGAUUGAUAGGGACAGUUGGGGGUGCUAGUAUUCAGCGGCCAGAGGUGAAAUUCUUGGAUUCGCUGAAGACUAACUUAUGCGAAAGCAUU